CUUUUUGGAGUGUAAACCUCUUUUAUUAGGGAAGAAGUGAUGACGGUACCUAAUGAAUCAGCAUCGGCUAACUCCGUGCCAGCAGCCGCGGUAAUACGGAGGAUGCAAGCGUUAUCCGGAAUUAUUGGGCGUAAAGCGUCCGUAGGUGGCUUUUUAAGUCUUUUGUCAAAGCGUGCAGCUUAACUGCAUACGGGCGGAGGAAACUAAGGAGCUAGAGUGCGAUAGGGGUCACAGGAAUUCCCAGUGUAGCGGUGAAAUGCGUAGAUAUUGGGAAGAACACCAGCGGCGAAAGCGUGUGACUGGGUCUGCACUGACACUGAGGGACGAAAGCUAGGGGAGCGAAAGGGAUUAGAUACCCCUGUAGUCCUAGCCGUAAACGAUGACAACUAGGUGUGGUUCGUAUCGACCCGAGCCGUGCCGUAGCCAACGCGUUAAGUUGUCCGCCUGGGGAGUACGCACGCAAGUGUGAAACUCAAAGGAAUUGACGGGGGCCCGCACAAGCGGUGGAGUAUGUGGUUUAAUUCGAUGCAACGCGAAGAACCUUACCAAGGCUUGACAUCCUGCGAACUUUUCUGAAAGGAGAAGGUGCCUUCGGGAGCGCAGAGACAGGUGGUGCAUGGCUGUCGUCAGCUCGUGUCGUGAGAUGUUGGGUUAAGUCCCGCAACGAGCGCAACCCACGUUUUUAGUUGCCAUCAGGUAGAGCUGGGCACUCUAGAGAGACUGCCGGUGACAAACCGGAGGAAGGUGUGGAUGACGUCAAGUCAGCAUGCCCCUUACGCCUUGGGCUACACACGUACUACAAUGCUACGGACAAAGAGCAGCCAGACAGCGAUGUUGAGCCAAUCUCAUAAACCGUAGCUCAGUUCAGAUUGCAGGCUGCAACUCGCCUGCAUGAAGGCGGAAUCGCUAGUAAUCGCAGGUCAGCAUACUGCGGUGAAUACGUUCCCGGGCCUUGUACACACCGCCCGUCACACCAUGGGAGUUGGUCACGCCCGAAGCCGUUACCCUAACCGUUCGCGGAGGGGGAUGUCGAAGGUGGGGCUGAUGACUGGGGUGAAGUCGUAACAAGGUAGCCGUACCGGAAGGUGUGGCUGGAUCACCUCCUUAA
Molecule: ribosomal RNA, 1108 nt
Filed under: Leptolyngbya sp. 11CAN
Lineage: Bacteria; Bacillati; Cyanobacteriota; Cyanophyceae; Leptolyngbyales; Leptolyngbyaceae
Description: bacterial SSU rRNA
Rfam family: Bacterial small subunit ribosomal RNA
Source: RNAcentral